Molecule: long non-coding RNA, 680 nt
Organism: Melanotaenia boesemani (Boeseman's rainbowfish)
Lineage: Eukaryota; Metazoa; Chordata; Actinopteri; Atheriniformes; Melanotaeniidae
Exons: 3
Source: RefSeq, a predicted model, not a curated record
GAACAAAACAAAAGCAGAAUGUGGGAGAAAAUGACAAAUCAUAACCACAUCACCAAAAAAUUUACAUAUGCUAGAAGUUACUUCCUUGUUAGACAUAAGGAGUGAAAAGAAGACAACUCUAAAACAUCUUGAAUAAAAAUGAACUAAACAACAAAGGGCUAUUGGAAACAAAAUAUAAUCAAAAUAUGGCUAAAUAAACUGCUGGUGCUGAAAUGAUGAUCAUAAUGUCAUAAUAAAUGGAAAAAGAAAGGUUUUUUCCCCCAUUAGAGAUAUUUCUUAUGUUGAGUGUAAAUCCUGACAUGAUACACAUCUACUGGCUAAAGAAAUUAGCUACACCUCAUGAACAGAUUAAUAAUAAGAAAGCCUAAGAUCCUCUGUUCCAGUAGCCCUACAGCUAAGAUCCUGUAGGACCUCCUGCUUUCUAAACUGAUGUUGGCCAACCAGAUAUCAAGGUGCUCAACAAACCUCAUAAGAAGGCAGGAGAGGUAUCUCCCAAAAGAUUCAACAAAAAGGAAAGUGAAAAGCUCAAAAUAAAAAUAUCUGGACUGAAAGAAAAAGUUGAAAAGUGAAGGCAUCAGUGAUGCCAGUGGUAGAGAACUCAGAGCUGUGAUCUUCAAACUGGAAAAAGUGGCUUAAACAGAUCCUAGAAACGCCAGAGAUCUUCAUGUAUUAUUAAUUCU